CAAAUAAUGAUGCACUGUUGAUUAAGUACAACUAUUUAUAUUACCACUUGAAAUUUGAAAAAAGCUUUGAACAUUUUUCGUAUUAUUUCUUUAGAUACAAUGAAAAUGAAGGUGCUUUUCGUUUGUCUGGUUGCUUUACUGUUCAUCAAUUACAGUGAGGCUUUGUGGUGUUAUGCAUGUGUUGGAAAAGGUUGUUCACCCAGACGAGAGGAAUGUGGCUCUCUUUUGCAAAAUCCCGUCUGUGCCAUCGUAGAUGCCCCCCACAUUUAUAUGAAAGGAUGCAUGAGUGAGUACAUCUGUAGGGGGCAACAGCAGGCUCCUGGUACCACCGCUGUCUGCUGCAGUACCAGCUACUGUAACUAAUAAGGAGGACAUCAGCCAUGGAGUUGUCUCUUUCUGACCCUCACUAGCCAAGGAUAUAAAUUAAAGUAAUUAUUUAUAUUUCAGGCAUGUGAUGUUUUAAUUUGAGAAUGGGGGAUAAUACCAAUUAAAUAAAAGAAUUAACUGCAA
Molecule: long non-coding RNA, 510 nt
Organism: Hemibagrus wyckioides
Lineage: Eukaryota; Metazoa; Chordata; Actinopteri; Siluriformes; Bagridae
Exons: 3
Source: RefSeq, a predicted model, not a curated record